GACGAACGCUGGCGGCGUGCUUAACACAUGCAAGUCGAACGGAAAGGCCCUGCUUUUGUGGGGUGCUCGAGUGGCGAACGGGUGAGUAACACGUGAGUAACCUGCCCUUGACUUUGGGAUAACUUCAGGAAACUGGGGCUAAUACCGGAUAGGAGCUCCUGCUGCAUGGUGGGGGUUGGAAAGUUUCGGCGGUUGGGGAUGGACUCGCGGCUUAUCAGCUUGUUGGUGGGGUAGUGGCUUACCAAGGCUUUGACGGGUAGCCGGCCUGAGAGGGUGACCGGCCACAUUGGGACUGAGAUACGGCCCAGACUCCUACGGGAGGCAGCAGUGGGGAAUAUUGCACAAUGGGCGGAAGCCUGAUGCAGCAACGACGCGUGCGGGAUGACGGCCUUCGGGUUGUAAACCGCUUUCGCCUGUGACGAAGCGUGAGUGACGGUAAUGGGUAAAGAAGCACCGGCUAACUACGG
RNAcentral lists this ribosomal RNA (467 nucleotides) under uncultured bacterium. Its description in RNAcentral is "partial 16S ribosomal RNA". It matches the Rfam family "Bacterial small subunit ribosomal RNA", at positions 28 to 506 of the family's 1533-position model. The record is from RNAcentral.